RNAcentral lists this long non-coding RNA (366 nucleotides) under Medicago truncatula (barrel medic). RNAcentral describes it as "long non-coding RNA (MTRU_LNC005286)". Lineage: Eukaryota; Viridiplantae; Streptophyta; Magnoliopsida; Fabales; Fabaceae. The record is from RNAcentral.
GAUAUCUUGAUCAUCAGCAGUAGUACUUUGGUCAUAUUUUAGAUGUAUAACAGCUAUUUUUAGGAAGAAAUGUGUCAUUUAACCACAUCUUAAGCAAUUUAUUUUAUUAUUGAUGUAGAUAUAAGAAUCAUAAAUAUUUUAAUAUAUAGGAUAUGACAUACGAGGAUUGAGAGGGUAAGCACUCAGCAAGACGUGUGGAAGUGUUAGAGAGGAAGAGCUUUCUUCAACUUUUGUUUGCAUGUAUAGGUUGUCAACAGGUAGACAUAAGAAAAAGAAAUAUAUAGGGAAUAAAAAUGAGGAAAGGGUCCUACUCCAUUGAUGAAUCAUUCACACCAUGAAUGUGACACUUAACACCGAACUUCACCG